RNAcentral lists this ribosomal RNA (278 nucleotides) under uncultured bacterium. RNAcentral describes it as "partial 16S ribosomal RNA". It matches the Rfam family "Bacterial small subunit ribosomal RNA", at positions 496 to 768 of the family's 1533-position model. The record is from RNAcentral.
UCUCUAUGCGGUGUCAGCCGCCGCGGUAAUACGAAGGGUGCAAGCGUUACUCGGAAUUACUGGGCGUAAAGCGUGCGUAGGUGGUUGUUUAAGUCUGUUGUGAAAGCCCUGGGCUCAACCUGGGAACUGCAGUGGAAACUGGACAACUAGAGUGUGGUAGAGGGUAGCGGAAUUCCCGGUGUAGCAGUGAAAUGCGUAGAGAGUCGGGAGGAACACUCCAGUGGCGAAGGCAGCUACCUGGACCAACACUGACACUGAGGCACGAAAGCGGUGGGGAG